Molecule: ribosomal RNA, 250 nt
Filed under: uncultured Actinomycetes bacterium
Lineage: Bacteria; Bacillati; Actinomycetota; Actinomycetes
Description: uncultured actinobacterium partial 16S ribosomal RNA
Rfam family: Bacterial small subunit ribosomal RNA
Source: RNAcentral
GACGUAGGGCGCGAGCGUUGUCCGGAUUUAUUGGGCGUAAAGAGCUCGUAGGCGGCUGGUUGCGUCGGUCAUGUAAUCCCGGGGCUUAACUUUGGGGUUGUGGCUGGUACGGGUUGGCUUGAGUCUGGUUGGGGAGACUGGAAUUCCUGGUGUAGCGGUGAAAUGCGCAGAUAUCAGGAGGAACACCGGUGGCGAAGGCGGGUCUCUGGGCCAGUUCUGACGCUGAGGAGCGAGAGCGUGGGGAGCGAAC